UCAUCCCUGUGUCAUGCAGUCUCCAUCCUGAUGUGUUUCUGGCCUUUGUCGACUUCCUCUGUGGGUGAGGUGGGGACUCCCGCAGGAGGCGGGGUGGCCGCACCACCUGCUUUCCUCCCGCCAGCUGCACCACCUCGUGAGUGAUGACGUCUGCCUGAAGGUGGUGGAGCUUUACCUGAACGAGAAGAAGCGGGGUGCCGCCGGUGGGAAUCUGUCCUCCCGCUGCGUCCGCGCUGCCAGGGAGACCAGCUACCAGUGGAAGGCUGAGCGCUGCAUGGCCGACGAGAACUGCUUCAAGGUGAUGUUCCUGCAGCGCAAAGGGCAGGUGAUCAUGACCAUCGAGCUCCUGGACACCGAGGAGGCCCAGACGGAGGACCCUGUGGAGGUCCAGCACCUGGCUCGGUACGUGGAGCAGUAUGUGGGGACCGAGGGCGCGUCCAGCUCGCCCACCGAGGGCUUCCUCCUGAAACCUGUGUUCCUGCAGAGGAACCUCAAGAAGUUCCGCCGCCGGUGGCAGAGCGAGCAGGCGCGGGCCCUGCGCGGUGAGGCCAGGAGCUCCUGGAAGCGGCUGGUGGGCGUGGAGAGCGCCUGCGACGUGGACUGCCGCUUCAAGCUCAGCACUCACAAGAUGGUGUUCAUCGUGAACUCCGAGGACUACAUGUACCGUCGCGGGACCCUCUGCCGGGCCAAGCAGGUGCAGCCCCUGGUCCUGCUCCGCCACCACCAGCACUUUGAGGAGUGGCACAGCCGCUGGCUGGAGGACAAUGUGACGGUGGAGGCGGCUAGCCUGGUGCAGGACUGGCUGAUGGGUGAGGAGGACGAGGACAUGGUACCCUGCAAGACGCUAUGUGAGACAGUGCACGUGCACGGCCUGCCCGUGACCCGCUACCGCGUGCAGUACAGC
RNAcentral lists this small RNA (904 nucleotides) under Pan troglodytes (chimpanzee). RNAcentral describes it as "retained intron". Lineage: Eukaryota; Metazoa; Chordata; Mammalia; Primates; Hominidae. The record is from RNAcentral.